UACGGGGGGGGUAAGCGUUGUUCGGAAUUACUGGGCGUAAAGGGCUCGUAGGCGGCCAACUAAGUCGGACGUGAAAUCCCUCAGCUUAACUGGGGAACUGCGUCCGAUACUGGAUGGCUUGGAUUUGGGAGAGGGAUGCGGAAUUCCAGGUGUAGCGGUGAAAUGCGUAGAUAUCUGGAGGAAUACCGGUGGCGAAGGCGGCAUCCUGGACCGACACUGACACUGAGGAGCGAAAGCCAGGGGAGCAAACGGG
RNAcentral lists this ribosomal RNA (253 nucleotides) under uncultured bacterium. RNAcentral's name for it is "partial 16S ribosomal RNA". It matches the Rfam family "Bacterial small subunit ribosomal RNA", at positions 524 to 776 of the family's 1533-position model. The record is from RNAcentral.